UACGUAGGUGGCAAGCGUUGUCCGGAUUUAUUGGGCGUAAAGCGAGCGCGGGCGGUUCCUUAAGUCUGAUGUGAAAGCCCACGGCUCAACCGUGGAAGGUCAUUGGAAACUGGGGAACUUGAGUGCAGAAGAGGAGAGUGGAAUUCCAUGUGUAGCGGUGAAAUGCGUAGAUAUAUGGAGGAACACCAGUGGCGAAGGCGACUCUCUGGUCUGUAACUGACGCUGAGGCUCGAAAGCGUGGGGAGCAAACAGGAUUAGAUA
This 261-nucleotide ribosomal RNA is filed under the name uncultured prokaryote. RNAcentral's name for it is "partial 16S ribosomal RNA". It matches the Rfam family "Bacterial small subunit ribosomal RNA", at positions 524 to 784 of the family's 1533-position model. The record is from RNAcentral.